This 164-nucleotide ribosomal RNA is filed under the name Phyllanthus vacciniifolius. Its description in RNAcentral is "5.8S ribosomal RNA". It matches the Rfam family "5.8S ribosomal RNA". Rfam says of the family: 5.8S ribosomal RNA (5.8S rRNA) is a component of the large subunit of the eukaryotic ribosome. It is transcribed by RNA polymerase I as part of the 45S precursor that also contains 18S and 28S rRNA. Functionally, it is thought that 5.8S rRNA may be involved in ribosome translocation. Lineage: Eukaryota; Viridiplantae; Streptophyta; Magnoliopsida; Malpighiales; Phyllanthaceae. The record is from RNAcentral.
CAAACGACUCUCGGCAACGGAUAUCUUGGCUCUCGCAUCGAUGAAGAACGCAGCGAAAUGCGAUACUUGGUGUGAAUUGCAGAAUCCCGUGAACCAUCGAGUUUUUGAACGCAAGUUGCGCCCGAAGCCUUCGGGUUGAGGGCACGUCUGCCUGGGUGUCACAC